GGGCUGGCGGGCGCUGGCGGGUCCCGGCUUCGUUUUGUCCUGGGUGCUGCCGGGGGCAGCCAGGACCGGGACCCGGGACUCGGGACCCGAGGCGGAGGGGAAGGGCCGGGCCCGGCUCCAGCCGGGGCUGCUGCGUGGCCCGAGCUCCCCUUCGCCGCUGACCCGCACCGAGCGGAUCAGCCCAGCCCCACCGCACCGGGCGGGUUCGCGUUCCGGGCCGAGCCUCCAGGGAGCUGCAUCCGAGACUCCUCAGUCCUGCCUCCCGAAGGCUGAAAGAGUUUUCCAGGGGAUGUGCAUGGACAUGAUGUCGCCGCCACAGCCAGCCCGUAGCAGGGGGCUCACAUGUCACUCCUUGUCGCGGGGCACGGGGGCACCCGGUGGGACCCUCAGCGAGCGGUGCCGUGAGAGAGCCGGGUGUCUGCUCUGCCACAGCCGUCCAUCCUUGGCUGCUCGUGCGUGUGGCCCUCUGGGAUGAGAGCCGCAGAUCGUGGUCCCCUCCGCAGCACAGCGGGUUUGGGUUGGUGUUUGCAGGUGCAGCUGGCCAGGCUCACCUGGCACUGGUGGCUCCCUGCUCCUGGCUCCAGCAGCACCGGCACAGGUGUCAGGAGGGGCUGAGGCUGCUGGGCAGCACAGGGAACCAGCACAGAGCCGGGGGGAGCCCAGAUGGGGGCACAGGACCAGCCAUGCCUGGGGCAGGCCUGAGCUGUGGUUACCAACAGUUCCCUUUUGGCAAAGAGUUGUGGUGGACAUACAUGCGGGAGUGGUAUGCGGUGUGGGGGUGGGCUGGUUUACAUGGAUGUUUCUGAGAUCAAACUGGCUGAAACAUUUAUUUUUUCCCACUACACUUCUUUCAGAGAUUGACCUAAAAAACACCAGUAAAAUAACUGGAAGAUGGAAGAUGUUGUUUCUUAUCAUGGUCCAAAAAAAUGGUGAAAAUUCCUUAUCCCUGCAACAACACUGGGCUCUCUCUCGACUUGGCACAUACACUUGGUUCUUUGGCUACCAGAUCUGAAGAAUCCAUCUACUGCCCCUACGUAUCCUGGACAUCUGUUGUUUUGGGAGGCAGAGCAUGCGGAGUGCUGGGCUGUUUGGCUCUGGGGAGGUCACCUGACAGGUCUUCAGAAAGUGCACCAACACAAUUCACAGAUCAACUUAAAGAAAGCAAGAGGCAUUACCAGAAACAGUGCAAAAGAUGUCAUGAAUCCCUCCUUCGUCAGCUCCCACGUCCCACCAUACUCCUCCUCAUCUAUCUGCUGGAAGCUGCUGAAGUAGAGGUACAGAACACCAGCAUUGAUCAGGCAGAAUCUGCAGGGAAGAGGUUAGGAACCAUCAUUCAGUGGCACAGGCUGCAGGUACCCCACAUACCAUACAGUGAAAUAUCCUUCAUCAGCAGACAGGAAGCAAAGAGUAAUUCUUUUCCUGCAAUGCUUGCCAGGCAGCUCAGUCACUUCCUUGAAAGAGCCCCUGCAGGCUAUUGAGACCUUGGCUAGGCAGAGACAUUUGCAAACAGAGACUCCCAGAGCAGAUCCAGCACCUUCCCAGAGCCAGUGUCCAGAGAGCAGGGCUGUGUCCCCACCUCUGCUGUCCCUGUUCCAGGCACAUGUCAGGGCCAAACAGAUUUUCAGUUCAUAACUCACUGCAGCCUUCAGACACCUCUGGGGAGGUGACCCAGCUCACAUGUCUUGUGGGGAUUCAAUGCACACACCCCCUUCCAGGCACUGCCUUCCCCACUUCAGCCCUGACUGGCUGAAAGAGCCACGUCAGGAAGCCAGGAGUGCUGCCGGAGCUCUGCCGGUGCCACUCUGCCAGGGCCACUCUGCCUGCUUGGGACCUGCGGCCUCUCAUGUUCUGAGCAAACCUUUUCUUUCACGGAGCAGCUGCCCCUCUUGUCUGCUGAUAGAACCUCCUGUCUGAGCAGGGCUCCUGGCUCAAAGCCCAGGAGGUGCACACCUUCCCCCCAUGGAUCCUUCCUGGGUGAUCACACCAGGAACCCCGCUCCCAGCCCUUCCCACACACGCAGGACACACAUACCAGGUAACUGAAACUCUAGUUCCCUUCUUCUGCCAUUGCCCUUUUUAACAACAAAACAAAUAAUAAUUUUAAAAAGUAUUAAUCAGGCUGAGGGGAAAGAAACUGAUGGACAUGUUAUGAUUUGGAUGAAUUUCAUGGCAACCAACAGUCUGGAAUGCAACGUUGGCUGUGAGACCCAGAGCAGGCAGAGCCUGCCUUUAGCCAAGCCCACUGUUCACAGCACAGCCUCAAACAGGCUCCCAGGCCAGGCCAAAUGUGGGAAAGUACACGAGACAGAAAAGGAAAUAAACCUUACACUGCUAUUCCCACGAAUCCCUUCAGUGGAACUACUCCCCAGAUGAUUCCCAAAAUAACCGCAAUGAUCUGCCGGAACCAGUAGAUCACAUCUAAAAACUCGUCCUGAGGAGAUAAAGCACAAGAAAAACGUUGGCAUUUAUUAAAGCACCACACAAUUAACAGGUGAAAAUUCAGCAUACUUGGAUCCCCACUCAGAGUAUAAAAUACUGCACUCAGAACAGAUAAAGCAGCUUAGGGCAUCAUGCACCCUGGACUUCUCAGCUUCCACAUUAAACACACAGCUUUGUCCUCCGACGGGCCAACUGCAUUGGCAAACAAGUCUCUAGUCCCCUUAUUUACUAAAGGUGCAAUAAUAAUCCCCCAGAAUAAAAGUUUAAAGAACUGUUUAUGCUUUAA
This is a long non-coding RNA of Corvus hawaiiensis (hawaiian crow), 2724 nucleotides long. RefSeq lists it as uncharacterized. Lineage: Eukaryota; Metazoa; Chordata; Aves; Passeriformes; Corvidae. The transcript is spliced from 2 exons. The record is from RefSeq and is a predicted model, not a curated record.